GAUGAACGCUGGCGGCGUGCUUAACACAUGCAAGUCGAACGGAAAGGCUCCUGCUUGCAGGGGCACUCGAGUGGCGAACGGGUGAGUAACACGUGGGUGAUCUGCCCUGCACUUCGGGAUAAGCCUGGGAAACUGGGUCUAAUACCGGAUAGGACCAUCGUUUAGUGUCGGUGGUGGAAAGUUUUUUCGGUGUGGGAUGAGCUCGCGGCCUAUCAGCUUGUUGGUGGGGUAAUGGCCUACCAAGGCGUCGACGGGUAGCCGGCCUGAGAGGGUGUACGGCCACAUUGGGACUGAGAUACGGCCCAGACUCCUACGGGAGGCAGCAGUGGGGAAUAUUGCACAAUGGGCGCAAGCCCGAUGCAGCGACGCCGCGUGGGGGAUGACGGCCUUCGGGUUGUAAACUCCUUUCGCCAGGGACGAAGCGAAAGUGACGGUACCUGGAUAAGAAGCACCGGCUAACUACGUG
RNAcentral lists this ribosomal RNA (466 nucleotides) under uncultured bacterium. Its description in RNAcentral is "partial 16S ribosomal RNA". It matches the Rfam family "Bacterial small subunit ribosomal RNA", at positions 28 to 507 of the family's 1533-position model. The record is from RNAcentral.